Molecule: ribosomal RNA, 205 nt
Filed under: uncultured bacterium
Lineage: Bacteria
Description: partial 16S ribosomal RNA
Rfam family: Bacterial small subunit ribosomal RNA
Source: RNAcentral
UACGUAGGGGGCAAGCGUUGUCCGGAUUUAUUGGGCGUAAAGAGCGUGUAGGCGGCCAGGUAGGUCUGCUGUGAAAACUCGAGGCUCAACCUCGAGACGUCGGCGGAAACCAUCUGGCUAGAGUCCGGAAGAGGAGAGUGGAAUUCCUGGUGUAGCGGUGAAAUGCGCAGAUAUCAGGAAGAACACCGGUGGCGAAGGCGGUCUC